RNAcentral lists this small nuclear RNA (103 nucleotides) under Monodon monoceros (narwhal). Lineage: Eukaryota; Metazoa; Chordata; Mammalia; Artiodactyla; Monodontidae. The record is from RNAcentral.
UUGCUUCAGCAGCACAUAUACUAAAAUUGUAAUGAUACAGAGAAGAUCACCAUGGCCCCUGCACAAGGAUGACAUGCAAAUUCGUGAAGCGUUCCAUAUUUUU